CCCUUAGAUGUUCUGGGCCGCACGCGCGCUACACUGACGAUGGCAACGAGUUUUUCCUUCGCCGAAAGGUGUGGGUAAUCUUUUGAAACAUCGUCGUGCUGGGGAUAGAUCAUUGCAAUUUUUGAUCUUGAACGAGGAAUUCCUAGUAAGCGCGAGUCAUCAGCUCGCGUUGAUUACGUCCCUGCCCUUUGUACACACCGCCCGUCGCUACUGCCGAUUGAACGUUUUAGUGAGGCAUUUGGACCGACGCAUCUCAGUUUAACCGCUGGUUUGUGUUGGAAAGACUUCCAAACUUGAGCGUUUAGAGGAAGUAAAAGUCGUAACA
RNAcentral lists this ribosomal RNA (325 nucleotides) under uncultured eukaryote. RNAcentral's name for it is "partial 18S ribosomal RNA". It matches the Rfam family "Eukaryotic small subunit ribosomal RNA", at positions 1470 to 1796 of the family's 1831-position model. The record is from RNAcentral.